UACGUAGGCAGCGAGCGUUGUUCGGAGUUACUGGGCGUAAAGGGUGUGUAGGCGGCUGUUUAAGUUUGGUGUGAAAUCUCCCGGCUCAACUGGGAGGGUGCGCCGAAUACUGAAUGACUUGGAGUGCGGGAGAGGUGAGUGGAAUUCCUGGUGUAGCGGUGAAAUGCGUAGAUAUCAGGAGGAACACCUGCGGUGUAGACGGCUUUCUGGACCAUUGUUGACGCUGAGACACGAAAGCGUGGGUAGCAAACAGG
This 254-nucleotide ribosomal RNA is filed under the name uncultured bacterium. Its description in RNAcentral is "partial 16S ribosomal RNA". It matches the Rfam family "Bacterial small subunit ribosomal RNA", at positions 524 to 776 of the family's 1533-position model. The record is from RNAcentral.